RNAcentral lists this ribosomal RNA (857 nucleotides) under uncultured Bacteroidota bacterium. RNAcentral's name for it is "bacterial SSU rRNA". It matches the Rfam family "Bacterial small subunit ribosomal RNA", at positions 8 to 863 of the family's 1533-position model. Lineage: Bacteria; Pseudomonadati; Bacteroidota. The record is from RNAcentral.
AGAGUUUGAUCAUGGCUCAGGAUGAACGCUAGCGGCAGGCUUAACACAUGCAAGUCGAGGGGUAACAGGAGAGCUUGCUCUUGCUGACGACCGGCGCACGGGUGCGUAACGCGUAUACAAUCUACCUUAUACUGGGGAAUAGGCCAAAGAAAUUUGGAUUAAUGCCCCAUAGUAUUUUUCUAACACAUGUUAGAAUUCUUAAAGCUCCGGCGGUAUAAGAUGAGUAUGCGUGAUAUUAGCUAGUUGGUGAGGUAACUGCUCACCAAGGCAACGAUAUCUAGGGGGUCUGAGAGGACUAUCCCCCACACUGGUACUGAGACACGGACCAGACUCCUACGGGAGGCAGCAGUGAGGAAUAUUGGGCAAUGGAGGCAACUCUGACCCAGCCAUGCCGCGUGAAGGAAGAAGGUCUUAUGGAUUGUAAACUUCUUUUAUUUGGGAAGAAACCUUUCUACGUGUAGAAAGCUGACGGUACCAAACGAAUAAGGACCGGCUAACUCCGUGCCAGCAGCCGCGGUAAUACGGAGGGUCCAAGCGUUAUCCGGAAUCAUUGGGUUUAAAGGGUGCGCAGGCGGUUUAAUAAGUCAGUGGUGAAAUCUCGGGGCUCAACCUCGAAACUGCCAUUGAUACUGUUAGACUUGAGUUCAGUUGGAGUAGGCGGAAUGUGUAGUGUAGCGGUGAAAUGCUUAGAUAUUACACAGAACACCGAUAGCGAAGGCAGCUUACUAAACUGAUACUGACGCUGAGGCACGAAAGCGUGGGGAGCGAACAGGAUUAGAUACCCUGGUAGUCCACACCGUAAACUAUGAUUACUCGAUAUUGGCGAUAUACAGUCAGUGUCUAAGCGAAAGUGAUAA